GAACCUCACUUGUGGGGGGAUUAGUGGCGAACGGGUGAGUAACACGUGAGUAACCUGCCCUUGACUCUGGGAUAAGCCUGGGAAACCGGGUCUAAUACUGGAUACGACCUUCUGGCGCAUGCCAUGUUGGUGGAAAGCUUUUGUGGUUUUGGAUGGACUCGCGGCCUAUCAGCUUGUUGGUGGGGUAAUGGCCUACCAAGGCGACGACGGGUAGCCGGCCUGAGAGGGUGACCGGCCACACUGGGACUGAGACACGGCCCAGACUCCUACGGGAGGCAGCAGUGGGGAAUAUUGCACAAUGGGCGCAAGCCUGAUGCAGCGACGCCGCGUGAGGGAUGAAGGCCUUCGGGUUGUAAACCUCUUUCAGUAGGGAAGAAGCCGGCCUUUGGGUUGGUGACGGUACCUGCAGAAGAAGCGCCGGCUAACUACGUGCCAGCAGCCGCGGUAAUACGUAGGGCGCAAGCGUUAUCCGGAAUUAUUGGGCGUAAAGAGCUCGUAGGCGGUUUGUCGCGUCUGCCGUGAAAGUCCGGGGCUUAACCCCGGAUCUGCGGUGGGUACGGGCAGACUAGAGUGCAGUAGGGGAGACUGGAAUUCCUGGUGUAGCGGUGAAAUGCGCAGAUAUCAGGAGGAACACCGAUGGCGAAGGCAGGUCUCUGGGGCUGUAACUGACGCUGAGGAGGCGAAAGCAUGGGGAGCGAACAGGAUUAGAUACCCUGGUAGUCAUGCCGUAAACGUUGGGCACUAGGUGUGGGGGACAUUCCACGUUUUCCGCGCCGUAGCUAACGCAUUAGUGCCCCGCCUGGGGAGUACGGCGCAAGGCUAAAACUCAAAGGAUUUGACGGGGGCCC
Molecule: ribosomal RNA, 848 nt
Filed under: Arthrobacter agilis
Lineage: Bacteria; Bacillati; Actinomycetota; Actinomycetes; Micrococcales; Micrococcaceae
Description: bacterial SSU rRNA
Rfam family: Bacterial small subunit ribosomal RNA
Source: RNAcentral